GAUGAACGCUGACAGAAUGCUUAACACAUCAGCAAUUGAUUGGUGGCGGACGGGUGAGUAACGCGUAAAGAACUUGCAUCACAUGUAGGGACAACAUUUGUAAACGAAUGCUAAUACCUAAUACUGUGAGAGAGCUGUGCGUCCAAGUAGCUAGUUGGAGAGGUAACGGCUCACCAAGGCGAUGAUGGGUAGCCGGCCUGAGAGGGUGAGAGGGCACAAGGGGACUGGGACACGGCCAUUACUGAUACGGGAGGCAGCAGUGGGGACUAUAGGACAAUGGACCAAAGUAUGAUGAAGCAAUUCGGUGUGUAAGAUGAAGUCUUGGGAAUGUAAAGUGCUUUGAGUUGGGAAGUGGUACCAACAGAAGAAGUGACGGCUAAAUACGUGCCAGCAGCCGCGGUAAUAC
This 406-nucleotide ribosomal RNA is filed under the name uncultured bacterium. Its description in RNAcentral is "partial 16S ribosomal RNA". It matches the Rfam family "Bacterial small subunit ribosomal RNA", at positions 28 to 526 of the family's 1533-position model. The record is from RNAcentral.